UNGAUAUUGGUAGAGGUAUUUCAGGACUGG
Molecule: non-coding RNA, 30 nt
Filed under: Mus musculus (house mouse)
Lineage: Eukaryota; Metazoa; Chordata; Mammalia; Rodentia; Muridae
Source: RNAcentral